AUAGUGAAAGGAGAGGAAUGAUACCUUCCUUCCUGCCAAGAUGGUUAUAGCUCCUCAUUCACCACUACAUGAACAUCAUUCCCAAAGUUGUGUGCUCCGUCGAGGAGAACAACCUUCUCCAAUAGAGACGUUCUUCAGUUGAGGGAAUAUGGGCAGCUGUAAUACUAUACCAAACAGAACUGCCGAAACAUGGCCUCAAUGUCCAUCUGCAAGAAUGUAGAGUAGCCAAGCUUCCCAGACACUAGACACAUAUAAAUUAGAUAUUGCAUGUAGCAAUCUGUAUUU
Molecule: unclassified non-coding RNA, 285 nt
Organism: Mesocricetus auratus (golden hamster)
Lineage: Eukaryota; Metazoa; Chordata; Mammalia; Rodentia; Cricetidae
Gene: 7SK
Rfam family: 7SK RNA
About the family: 7SK was discovered as an abundant small nuclear RNA in the mid-70s but a possible function has only recently been suggested.
Source: Ensembl